Mycena filopes is the source of this 99-nucleotide non-coding RNA. The record is from the annotation of a GenBank genome assembly. NCBI's taxonomy places the organism in Eukaryota, Fungi, Basidiomycota, Agaricomycetes, Agaricales, Mycenaceae.
GGCUCGGUUGCGCGUGGUGCGCGUCUGCAUUUCAUAAUUCUUUCGGUGUUAAAUUGAACAUGCAGAUUUAUUUGCCUGGUUCGAAUCCAGGUCGGGCCU